UCCUCUACGUCUCGUGGGCUCGGAGAUGUGUAUAAGAGACAGGAGUGUGUUAAAACUUACCUGCCGAAUGAACUAGUCCCGAAAAUGGAUGGCGCUAAAGCGUGUGACCGAUACCGGACCAUUGGCGCGAGAGUGAGGCGCCAAUGAGUAGGAGGGCGUGAGCGUCGUGGCGAAGCCUUUGGCGUAAGCCUGGGUUGAACGGCGUUUAGUGCAGAUCUUGGUGGUAGUAGCAAUUAUUCAAAUGAGAACUUUGAAGGCCGAAGUGGAGAAGGUUUCCGUGAGAACAGCAAUUGGUCACGGGUGACUCGAUCCUAAGACAUGGGGGAAAUCCUUGUUAAGUGUGCGCUAGCACGUAGUCGAAAGGGAAUGAGGUUAAUAUUCCUCAAGCUGGAUGUGGGCGUUAAAUGGCAACAUCAACGAACUUAGAGACGCCAGCGUGAGCCUCUGGAAGAGUUAUCUUUUCUUUUUAACAGACUAGCGACCCUGAAGUUCAUUUACUGAGAGAUAGGGUGGCACGUCUGGAAGAGCACCUCGCUUUUUGAGGUGUCAGGUGCGCUCAUGAUGGUCCAUGAAAAUCUAAGUGAGAUAGCUUCACUCCAGGUCGUACCCACAACCGCAUCAGGUCUCCAAGGUUAGCAGCCUCUGGCCAACUAGAAUAAUGUAGAUAAGGGAAGUCGGCAAAAUAGUUCCGUAACUUCGGGAAAAGGAAUGGCUCUGAGGACAGGGCGGUUAGGGCCGACUUUGAAUCCCAAGUUGUUGAGGUCAGCGGUACCCCUGCGGUUCUGCUACCUAGACUGACGAAAGGAAGAUUAGAAGGUACGCUUUUGCAUCCUUCCGCGAUGAACUGUCGACUCAGAACUGGAGCGGACAAGGGGAAUCCGACAGUUUAAUAAAAACCAAGCAUUGUGAUGGCCUUAAAAGGUGAUGACACAAUGUGAUUUCUGCCCAGUGCUCUGAAUGUCAACGUGGAGAAAUUCAAUGAAGCUUGGGUAAACGGCGGGAGUAACUAUGACUCUCUUAAGGUAGCUAAAUGCCUCGUCAUCUAAUUAGUGACGUGCAUGAAUGGAGCAACGAGAUUCCUACUGUCCCUGUUUACUAUUCAGCGAAACCACAGCCAAGGGAACGGGCUUGGUACACACAGCGGGGAAAGAAGACCCUGUUGAGCUUGACUCUAGUCUGGAUCGGUUUGGCGACUUGUCAGGUGUAGCAUAGGUGGGAGAAUUUCGCCAAUGAAAUACCACUACUGACAUAGUUUCUGAACCCACGAUGUUCGUGCAGCAUCAGGAUGCAUUUUCAUCGGCAAAUCCAGAUCGGGAGUUUGGCUGGGGCGGCAUAUCUGUUAAAAGAUAACGCAGGUGUCCUAAGACGAGCUCAGACAGAUCAGAAAUCUGUCGUAGACUGACAGGAGAAAGACUCGCUUGAUUGUAGUCUCCAGUACGGACUACAAAUGCUAACGCAUGGCCUAUCGAUCCUUACGCGUUGACUUUUUCAGCUAGAGGUGUCAGAAAAGUUACCACAGGGAUAACUGAUUCGUGGCGACCAAGAGUUCAUAUCGACGUCGCUUUUUGAUCCUUCGAUGUCGGCUCUUCCUAUCAUUGUGAAGCAGAAUUCACAAAGUGUCGGAUUGUUCACCCGCUAAUAGGGAACGUGAGCUGGGUUUAGACCGUCGUGAGACAGGUUAGUUUUACCCUA
RNAcentral lists this ribosomal RNA (1692 nucleotides) under seawater metagenome. RNAcentral's name for it is "eukaryotic LSU rRNA". It matches the Rfam family "Eukaryotic large subunit ribosomal RNA", at positions 1267 to 2996 of the family's 3401-position model. The record is from RNAcentral.